Oryctolagus cuniculus (rabbit) is the source of this 666-nucleotide long non-coding RNA. RefSeq lists it as uncharacterized. The record is from RefSeq and is a predicted model, not a curated record. Lineage: Eukaryota; Metazoa; Chordata; Mammalia; Lagomorpha; Leporidae.
CCAGCUGCCUCCCAGCCAAGCUCUGAGUCAGUGGGGGCUGUGGGCCACACCCACUGUUUGAAGUUCUGGAUCACACACACCCUAGAGUCACUGGCUGAAUGCCUGCCUGCCACUGCUGCCAGCACUAACUUCAAGUGUCCUGUCUCAGUGAGCUGUUAUGUGUACACCUGCAGGCUUCUGUAGUUUUACCCUGUUUUAAAAUGGCACCUGCCCUCUCUCAGCUGGAUCACAGUUUCUGUUUUGGAGUGAUUCGUUGGAAUUGGACAACCCUCUACACUUCCACUAGGACCACUGACAACUGCCAGCAACUACCAGGACCCUGGACUCCAGUCUGGACACACACCAUAUUCUCUCUCUGCUCUAACCUCAUGGCCUAUAAGGUUUCUGAUUCGAAAUCAACUGUCCAUCUAAUUGGAGAUCCUCUGAAGGCAAUAUGGCAUUUCUCUCAGAUCUUGCUGCUGCUGAGUGUGGGCACCAGAAGAUCAUGGAAAAACUCCACCUUGAGACUCCGACCAACACUGCUUGGCACCCAGUGCUUACCUCAUCGAUGAACAUGUACUCCCAUUUUGCCACUACUCAAGCUCUAUGGAGAAGUUCCACAGCCACCAUAGCCUUCAGAAUGAAAUUAGAAAUGCUAAGGGGCCACUGUCAUCACCAAGCCAAAGA